Molecule: ribosomal RNA, 406 nt
Filed under: uncultured bacterium
Lineage: Bacteria
Description: partial 16S ribosomal RNA
Rfam family: Bacterial small subunit ribosomal RNA
Source: RNAcentral
AUUGAACGCUGGCGGCAGGCCUAACACAUGCAAGUCGAACGAGUGGCGGAUGGGUGAGUAAUGUCUGGGAAACUGCCAGAUGGAGGGGGAUAACUACUGGAAACGGUAGCUAAUACCGCAUACCAUCGGAGGUGCCCAGAUGGGAUUAGCUAGUAGGUGGGGUAACGGCUCUCCUAGGCGACGAUCCCUAGAUGGUCUGAGUGGAUGACCAGGCACACUGGAACGGAGACACGGUCCAAACUCCUACGGGAGGCAGCAGUGGGGAAUAUUGCACAAUGGGCGCAAGCCUGAUGCAGCCAUGCCGCGUGUAUGAAGAAGGCCUUCGGGUUGUAAAGUACUUUCAGCGAGGAGGCGUUACUCGCAGAAGAAGCACCGGCUAACUCCGUGCCAGGAGCCGCGGUAAUAC